Molecule: ribosomal RNA, 386 nt
Filed under: Streptomyces sp. PC5020
Lineage: Bacteria; Bacillati; Actinomycetota; Actinomycetes; Kitasatosporales; Streptomycetaceae
Description: bacterial SSU rRNA
Rfam family: Bacterial small subunit ribosomal RNA
Source: RNAcentral
GAACGGGUGAGUAACACGUGGGCAAUCUGCCCUGCACUCUGGGACAAGCCCUGGAAACGGGGUCUAAUACCGGAUACUGAUCAUCUUGGGCAUCCUUGAUGAUCGAAAGCUCCGGCGGUGCAGGAUGAGCCCGCGGCCUAUCAGCUUGUUGGUGAGGUAACGGCUCACCAAGGCGACGACGGGUAGCCGGCCUGAGAGGGCGACCGGCCACACUGGGACUGAGACACGGCCCAGACUCCUACGGGAGGCAGCAGUGGGGAAUAUUGCACAAUGGGCGCAAGCCUGAUGCAGCGACGCCGCGUGAGGGAUGACGGCCUUCGGGUUGUAAACCUCUUUCAGCAGGGAAGAAGCGAAAGUGACGGUCCCUGCAGAAGAAGCGCCGGCUA